RNAcentral lists this unclassified non-coding RNA (210 nucleotides) under plant metagenome. RNAcentral describes it as "partial contains small subunit ribosomal RNA, internal transcribed spacer 1, and 5.8S ribosomal RNA". The record is from RNAcentral.
UUUCCGUAGGUGAACCUGCGGAAGGAUCAUUCAUAAUAAAGUGUUUUAUGGCACUUUUUAAAAUCCAUAUCCACCUUGUGUGCAAUGUUAGAUCUCGUCAAUCUUGGCGAGAUUUUUAUACAUCAACUCAUUCUUUAACUAAUUUGUCUGAAAAAUAUUAUGAAUACUUAAUUCAAAAUACAACUUUCAACAACGGAUCUCUUGGAUCUC